This 505-nucleotide ribosomal RNA is filed under the name uncultured bacterium. RNAcentral describes it as "bacterial SSU rRNA". It matches the Rfam family "Bacterial small subunit ribosomal RNA", at positions 28 to 524 of the family's 1533-position model. The record is from RNAcentral.
GACGAACGCUGGCGGCGUGGAUUAGGCAUGCAAGUCGAACGGUAGGAUACCUUCGGGCAUCUGAGAGUGGCGAACGGGUGAGUAACACGUAGGUGAUCUACCCUCAAGAUUGGGACAACCCAGGGAAACUUGGGCUAAUACCGGAUGAAAGCAGCAGUGAUGUUGUUUGAAAGGUGGCGUAAGCUGCCGUUUGGGGAUGAGCCUGCGCUCUAUUAGUUAGUUGGCGGGGUAAAGGCCCACCAAGGCGAUGAUAGAUAGGCGGCCUUAACGGGUGGUCGCCCACACUGGGAUUGAGAUACGGCCCAGACUCCUACGGGAGGCAGCAGUGGGGAAUCUUCCACAAUGGACGAAAGUCUGAUGGAGCAACGCCGCGUGAGUGAAGAAGGGUUUCGGCUCGUAAAGCUCUGUUGUCGGGGACGAAUGUGCAGUAUUUUGAAUAAAGUAGUGCAAUGACGGUACCUGACGAGGAAGCCACGGCUAACUACGUGCCAGCAGCCGCGGUAAG